This 468-nucleotide ribosomal RNA is filed under the name uncultured bacterium. Its description in RNAcentral is "partial 16S ribosomal RNA". It matches the Rfam family "Bacterial small subunit ribosomal RNA", at positions 28 to 507 of the family's 1533-position model. The record is from RNAcentral.
GACGAACGCUGGCGGCGUGCUUAACACAUGCAAGUCAAACGGCAAGGCCCUGCUUUCGUGGGGUGCUCGAGUGGCGAACGGGUGAGUAACACGUGAGCAACCUGCCCUUGACUUUCGGAUAACUUCAGGUAACUGGGGCUAAUAUCGGAUAGGAGCUCCUCUUGCAUGGUGGGGGUUGGAAAGUUUAGGCGGUUGGGGAUGGACUCGCGGCUUAUCAGCUUGUUGGUGGGGGAGUGGCUUACCAAGGCAUUGGAGGGUAGCCGGCAUGUGAGGGGGGACGGGCACAAUGGGACUGAGAUACGGCCCAGACGGGUACGGGGGGCAGUGGUGGGGAGUAUGACACAGUGGGCGGGAGUCUGAGGCAGCGGCGCCGCGUUCGGGAUGACGGCCUGCGGGGUGUAAACCGCUGUCGCCUGUGACGAAGCUGGUGUGACGGUAAUGGGUAAAGAAGCACCGGCUAACUACGUG